This is a long non-coding RNA of Eubalaena glacialis (North Atlantic right whale), 278 nucleotides long. RefSeq lists it as uncharacterized. The transcript is spliced from 3 exons. The record is from RefSeq and is a predicted model, not a curated record. Lineage: Eukaryota; Metazoa; Chordata; Mammalia; Artiodactyla; Balaenidae.
GCAGAGCUUCAAGCACUUUUGAGCCUUUGUCUUAAAUAAAAAUAUUGGUCCACUUUACUCCUCUUUGGAAGAAGGAAGAAGUGAAACUCAAGGAAGAUAUGACCUAUGCUGAAAAGAAGUUGAGAAAUCCUCUCCAUGUAUUACAUAGAGAAACAAAAGUGCCCCUGGCCACACAGGAUGCAGCCUCUAGUGCUAUCCAAAUAUGUAACUAGAGGAAAUGUGAUGUAGCUCUUUUGUCUUUCUAUGUUUCUGAAGGAUGUCUCCCUUGUGGAAAAGCU